AUGAACGCUGGCGGCGUGCCUAAUACCUGCAAGUCGAGCGAACGGACGAGAAGCUUGCUUCUCUGAUGUUAGCGGCGGACGGGUGAGUAACACGUGGAUAACCUACCUAUAAGACUGGGAUAACUUCGGGAAACCGGAGCUAAUACCGGAUAAUAUUUUGAACCGCAUGGUUCAAAAGUGAAAGACGGUCUUGCUGUCACUUAUAGAUGGAUCCGCGCUGCAUUAGCUAGUUGGUAAGGUAACGGCUUACCAAGGCAACGAUGCAUAGCCGACCUGAGAGGGUGAUCGGCCACACUGGAACCGAGACACGGUCCAGACUCCUACGGGAGGCAGCAGUAGGGAAUCUUCCGCAAUGGGCGAAAGCCUGACGGAGCAACGCCGCGUGAGUGAUGAAGGUCUUCGGAUCGUAAAACUCUGUUAUUAGGGAAGAACAUAUGUGUAAGUAACUGUGCACAUCUUGACGGUACCUAAUCAGAAAGCCACGGCUAACUACGUG
RNAcentral lists this ribosomal RNA (496 nucleotides) under uncultured bacterium. Its description in RNAcentral is "partial 16S ribosomal RNA". It matches the Rfam family "Bacterial small subunit ribosomal RNA", at positions 29 to 507 of the family's 1533-position model. The record is from RNAcentral.